Molecule: ribosomal RNA, 866 nt
Filed under: uncultured organism
Description: bacterial SSU rRNA
Rfam family: Bacterial small subunit ribosomal RNA
Source: RNAcentral
GGGGCAAGCGUUAUCCGGAUUUACUGGGCGUAAAGAGCGUUGAGGCGGUCUUGUAAGUUGGGCGUUAAAGCCCUGGGCUUAACUCAGGGAAGCCGUUCAAUACUGCGAAACUUGAGGGCAGCAGAGGGAGGUGGAAUUCCCGGAGUAGCGGUGACAUGCGUAGAUAUCGGGAGGAACACCAGUGGCGAAGGCGGCCUCCUGGGCUGCUCCUGACGCUGAAGGCGAAAGCUAGGGGAGCGAACGGGAUUAGAAACCCCGGUAGUCCUAGCCGUAAACGAUGGAUGCUAGGUCUGGGGGGUGUAGAUUCCCUCCGUGCCGCAGUUAACGCGUUAAGCAUCCCGCCUGGGGAGUACGGCCGCAAGGCUAAAACUCAAACGAAUUGACGGGGGCCCGCACAAGCAGCGGAGCGUGUGGUUUAAUUCGAUGCUACACGAAGAACCUUACAUGGGCUUGACAUACAGGUAGUAGUGAAGUGAAAGCGGAUCGAUCCUUCCGGGGAGCCUGUACAGGUGCUGCAUGGCUGUCGUCAGCUCGUGCCGUGAGGUGUCGGGUUAAGUCCCGUAACGAGCGCAACCCUUGCUCUUAGUUAUACGUGUCUAAGAGGAUUGCCGACGGUAAGCCGGAGGAAGUUGGGGAUGACGUCAAGUCAGCAUGGCCUUUAUGUCCAGGGCUACACACACGCUACAAUGGCCGGUACAAUGGGUAGCUAAACCGCGAGGUGGAGCCAAUCCUGUAAAGCCGGUCUCAGUUCGAAUUGCAGGCUGCAACUCGCCUGCAUGAAGUUCGGAGUUGCUAGUAAUCAGCAGGUCAGCAAUACUCACGGUGAAUACGUUCCCGGGCCUUGUACACACCGCCCGUCACGUCAU